UCCUCUGAAUCACUGCUCUUCCUGGUCUUCUUGACCUGCUUAUUACAUGUGUGAUGUGUGCGUGCUUGCUGUUGCUGUGCUGCGUGUGUGCUUGCUUGUUGCCGGUGCUUUGUCUGGGUGUUGGGCUGCUGAUGGCCUGAUGUUGGCUUUGCUGUAAUAUUUGUAUAAUGCUUGUAUCUUCUAUGAAGCUACAAAGCUAUGCUUUGUUGUAUACUGACUUUGUUGCUUGUUGCGGUUGACCUGCUGAUGUUGCUACUGUGCUGGCCAAGGAGUGAGUCAAGUGACAUACAGACACAAGAAAUAUUCGGUUAUGAGGAUUGAAGAAAUUAAUGAUCAUUCAAUCAUUGAGGAUUUGAGAAGAGGUAUCAAUGCUCCAGUAGAGGUGUUAUUGAAGUUGUGGCUGUCAAUAGUCCUUUUAUUGAUGCUAAGUACAUGGUGCAAUGACAAAAAACAUCCAGUGGGAUGUUCUACUGCAUCGGAAUUUGACAAAUUUAAUUCUGCCAUUAUAUUCUUUCCUUUACUGCUCAAGUUAACACCCCUCCUCCCAUUUGUUGGCCCAUAUGUUCAAGUAUGAAUCCUAUCAUGGCCCCUUUAAAGGAUCCAUUAAGAUCGUGGACGAUUCAGUAUUGGAGAUUAAUGCGCAAGAUCACAACCACGGGCGAAAGGUAAAUAUGCCAGGGUUAGCUAAUUGUUUGCCAUAUUAGUGCGGUUGAUAUAUAUGUCAUGGUUUCUAAAUAUGCAUGGCAUGUUGGCCCAUAUUAGUGCUGUUGAGAGGGAGGAGGAGGGAGGAGUGCGUGGCUGUGGAUCAGGUCUAGGGUUGGUGCAGUUCUGUCCAAUGGGCUCCUCCCUUCAGCUUCAGGCAAGCCACGGGACGCGCGUCGCGUGAUGAAAGGUUCACCCAACCUAAGAUGACCCGCUGCAGACCCAGCCAAUGCAAGCGUGAGAUGAGCCCACUUGUCAUUGGGCAGUAAAAUGACUGUGAUGUCAAAAUUGAAUUUGACUGCUGUGAAAAUCCAAUGGCUCAGGCGCGCUAGAAGGCAGAUCGGACGGCCAACGUAUGUGUAUGACAUUAACUGAUUCAUUAUGAUUUUCAGGGGUAUAUGAACCACAAAUGAUGAUAUGCUUGGUUAUUGGAACAUGAAAGGAGUGCGACUCAACAGGAAGGUGUACCGUGGGGAGCCGCAACAUGGCAUGGCCUCACUAGCCAAUUAGUGCAUGCUUGGAAGCUUAAAUCUAUCAUUAAACUGUGAAAUAGUGUUGUAAGAGACACUUCUAUAAGCAAAGGUAUGUGCCUGCAUUUAGACCUUAAUUAUCCCUUGCUUAGUAUUGUUUGGUUCGUGUUAUUCAUGCUACAAUGAUUUUCUUCACUCUGUUAAUCUUAUAGUAACUAGACGACGCAGUACAUGGCAGCAGUAUACUUUUGGUGUAGGAAUUAACAAUGACAUGCUUCAUGUUCUGUGUGCCUUGACUCUGGCUCUAUGCUUAUUAAUCAACUUAGCGAGCUUUAGGACUUCGAAAGUUGUCAUUUUGAGGAGCAUGAUUUCCUAUGUUUUUGGUCAAGAUGGCACACAUGAAAAGUUUGUCAAGAAUGUACCAAAUCAUAUACGUAUGUCUCUUUCCACUUCUGCAUUUAUGGCUGCAAAUUGUAUUCUCAGAUUCUAGACUGGGUGUAUAUAAACAUAUAUUCUGCACACUGAAUUCUUCUCUUUAAUACAUCACAGAUAAAACAAAUAUUUCACUAGCAGUCCAGCAGGGGAGGACGUUGAUGAAUCCUGCAUGAAUUGUUUAUUUUUAUGCUUUAGUUGUUGAUGUUCAUAAAGUGAUGACAGGUGGCUUCAUUUAUGUUUGUUUAUACAAAACAAACACCACCAAGAUCCGAAUUAAUCCGUGCAUUCAAGCUAUGAGUCAAAAAUACAUCACGUAUUGGUUGAGUGUAAUUGGAACAAUGAAGCAGAUUGCAUGCUUGCUUGAGUUCACCUGCUUUUUGGUGGACUAUAUAUCCAAGUAUUUCUUACAAAGUAUUUAAAAAUAAAGGGGCAAAAGAUGUUAUAAUUCAGAACCAAACUUAGAAUGACCCAAGGCUGUUAUCAUCAGAAUUUGACAGUGUUGUGCCAAAAAAUAACUCUGAGUAAACAAAGAACAUUCUGGUUCCUUUCCGGCUUGCUAUUCAUGACUGAUCUUUUAAAUUAAUUGUUGUUCUUUUACAAAAUUGAGAGCUCUUUUUUGUAAGUGUACUUUAUAUGUUGGUGACUGGAUUUUUAAAUUAAUUGUCGUUCUUUUACGAAAUUGAGCAUAAAGAAAAAGUAAAAAUAAAAAAUGUUUAGCUAAAUAGGCAAAGCUGCUGAAGUUUACUUGCUGUAGACCUUUGAUGGGCCAUGCUUUUUGCUGCUUUCUGCAUUCCUGGACUAUAGGAACCUUGUGGAGGUGCUCCUCUAUUUUCCUGUUGCUUUCUCUGUCACUCGCAUUUAAAUUUGCCACUAUACUGGUUUUCAAACAUGACAUGUAUAGAUCCAAGGAUGAAGAGAAGAAGAAGAGUUGGGAUUGUGUAUUUGCAAUUGUGCAUGCUAUACGUGUCUGCAUUUAAUUUUUUUUCUUGGAACUAUUGGCAUGUAGAGGAGGCUGCGCUUUAUUUGCUGGUGUGUUAGGCACAUAAGAAACUGGUUUUGCCUUUUUCACAAACCAAGUUAGGGCUAGCUUCUGAUGUGUAUGGUCCCAGCUCCAUUUUUAUUGUCAAAAAAAAUUAAGUACAAUGUUAAAUGUGUUGGUUCACAUGCCAAUUCUUCAUGUUCUUUAGGCCUUGAUCUUACUAUCCUAUCUGAAUAUUCCUUUUAUUGGCAAUCACAGGUUUAUAUGAUUGGCAGGGAUGGAACAAUGAGAGGAGCAGUGGCGAUAUUCAAAGAUUUUAAACAGUGUGGUUUGAUGAUAUCCAUUACAGGGAUCUCAAAAAACUUGGACAACGACAUCAACAUCAUAGACAAGGCUUUUGGGUUUCAAACUGCAGUGGAGAAUGCUCAGUAGGCAAUCGAUGUGACACAUGUGGGGUUGUGAAUAUUGUGGAUGGCAUUGGUCUUGUCAAACUUAUGGGAAGGAGCACGGGCCGCAUUACUCUUCAUGCCACCCUGAGCAACCUGAGAUGUUGACUGAUGUUUGAAUCCUGAGAUCGAUUUCCAUGUUGAAGGGAAGGGGCAUGCUGUCGUAGUUGUUGCUCAAGGCGCUGGUCAGGAGUUGAUUCCCCAGAUUGAUGACCAGAAGCGAGAGCAGGAUGAGUCUAGCAACAUGUUGUUCCUUAGCGUUGGCCUUCCUUCUAUAAAGUUUACAUGCAAUUCACCUGCAUGGUUAAAAAAGCUACUAUACUAAUUUAAAUGUUCUGUUUCUUUGAAGAUUACUCAUUUCUCUUACCGUUGUUGUAUCGAAACAAUUGUAUUUUGGCCGCUUGCGCUCAUUUUAUAGGAGAUUGAGAUGUGGGACAAGCUACUACCAAAUAUUUGGUUCCCAUCAAAUCGUUUAUUUGCCAAUAAAGUAAAGGUUCCUUUUUGUAAACA
Long non-coding RNA from Triticum aestivum (bread wheat), 3542 nucleotides. RefSeq lists it as uncharacterized. The record is from RefSeq and is a predicted model, not a curated record. The transcript is spliced from 3 exons. NCBI's taxonomy places the organism in Eukaryota, Viridiplantae, Streptophyta, Magnoliopsida, Poales, Poaceae.